RNAcentral lists this long non-coding RNA (1933 nucleotides) under Paramuricea clavata. Lineage: Eukaryota; Metazoa; Cnidaria; Anthozoa; Malacalcyonacea; Plexauridae. The record is from RNAcentral.
CUGAAUUUGAAUAUUUCUGCUCGAGCCGCCUCGAGGCUUCGAAAUGUAGAGAGUUAAUACUGCAAGGAAACUUCGCUUUUAUGAAACGUUUAUGAAAUAAAAUCGGUGUGUCAUGCAGAGGGAAAGGUCAGUAUUAAAUUUAGCUAUUUUUUAAACGUUUUUGAGUUGUUCUUGUUAAGUUAUUGCUGUUUUUUAAAACACGUGUCUACAUUCAUUGUAGUACUAUUGAAUUUGAUUCUCAUUCAAGCGCUUCGUUUCAGCGCUGAGUCGCUUUAUUUUCUCAGUGUCUCUCCCUAAUUUCCUAGCAGCAAUGUUCAGAAAUACCCCAGCUUUGAUUUACUUAACUCAUAUUUGGUUUAUCUGCAAUUUCAGGGCGAAAAUUUGAAGAGAAAGUGAACUAAUUUAAGUCGCCGACAUGGUCGAAAUGCCGAAGCACUUGGUAAGCAUAAUGUCGAUUAAAGGCGUUUCCUUCUUGUUUGUUUCUCGUUUUCAAGCAUCCCCAAUACACGUAGAACGUCUUCUAGCAUUGCUUUGUAGUCUUAUGAACACUCCGAGUCAAGUUUAGUUACAAUAUUGGCAAAACUUUUCCCAAUACCGAACGAAUUGCAGACUUAUUUUAGGCAUGUUCAAUUUCGCAUGCAGGCAUAUAUUUUCGAACAUUUUAGCUUUUACAAACUUGUCGUUUAUGUACAAAUUGUUCUGUGAGAGGGAAGGCUAAGCUUUUUGAGUUUCUUGGGGUUGUCUAAGUUGGAUUUCAUCCAAGAUUUUUACGAAGUUUAGAGAUGAAAUGUCCUCGUGGUCAUGGCCUAAUUUUAUGCAUAGAUGCAGGCAUGCUUUAAAAUUAAAAUAAAUUGAAUUGGACAACCUUAAACGACAUUAAAUAACUCUUCGCCGUUUUGAAACUAAAAAUUCAUUGUCCAAUUGUUUAGACUGCCUCAAAGUCGAUCAUUUCGAUGGCAAACAGUACAGAAAGACCUCUGCACAGAUUUGAAUAAUAAGCGCUCGCCUAGCAGUCGAAGAAAAACGCGAAAAUCGAGAAGGCGAAGGACAAAUGAGACCCGCCACCAGCUCCAUUCCUUUGCGAACUCACAGCAUUCAUCGUCAGAUUUCGUCUACAGUACAAAGUCAGGAGAUUGCCACUCAUCCAGAGACUGUAACAAAGGCGUAUAAUAACAUACUCGAACUGUCUGUUGAGAGAAAUUCAACUGCCUGAAAAUACAAGUAAACUUAUACCAUAGUCUGGCAGUGACGGAACGCUCGAGAGCAGACACACCCAUCCUCAUCAGAUUUCGUUCAAUCAGCCAAUUGUGAAUGAGAUGCAUGGACCUGCGAAGCGACAGUCGACGCCGUACCAUCCAGAGACCCUAACCAAUACGCCAUACCAUCGUGAAAGAUGCUGUACAUUACAAAAGGUAUAUUUUCCUCAUGAUUCUCGUUGUGCGUGUUCGAAAGUACGUGGGGGCCCACCCUGAGGACGCCCAAAUGCACAAAACAAAUUUAAAUAUGGCACCUUUUCCUUAAUUUUGCAAUUUAUUCAAAUUUUUCACAUGUCUUGGUAUUUGUGAAAAGCUCUUAACGUAAUCGAAAUGUUUGAAAUUCGGAAGGUUCUAUCUGGGAGUUUGUUUAUUUGAAAGAUAUUUGAAAUGAAAUUUUGAAGUUUACAUCACUUUGGUGUUUGGUUUAAACGCUAGGUAAAAUCAUGCCAGAUGAGUGGUUGAUCAUUCGUUGAAGUUCGGUGAUGCUUCGGCUCGGACUUUCCCGACCUACAUGUCGAGUUGUUCUGUUCGAUUGUCGUGAUCAACUAGCGCAAAUGUAAGCUAGGUCUGGCCAACAUCGCGGAAAAACGUCUGCGCAUGCGUCAACCUUACCUGUAAUAGUAUUGCGAACUUGAUGAGAAGCUGUUCCGAACGUUUCCGAAGGCUCAAAAUGGCGG